RNAcentral lists this ribosomal RNA (229 nucleotides) under uncultured bacterium. Its description in RNAcentral is "partial 16S ribosomal RNA". It matches the Rfam family "Bacterial small subunit ribosomal RNA", at positions 15 to 244 of the family's 1533-position model. The record is from RNAcentral.
GAUCCUGGCUCAGGAUGAACGCUGGCGGCGUGCCUAAUACAUGCAAGUCGAACGAAUCUUCUUCGGAAGAUGAGUGGCGAACGGGUGAGUAAUACAUAGGUAACCUGCCCCUGUGCGGGGGAUAACAGGAGGAAACUCCUGCUAAUACCGCAUAGCCAUGAGCACCGCAUGGAGCUCAUGCCAAAUAUCCUUUCGGGGAUAGCGCAGGGAUGGACCUAUGGCGCAUUAG